RNAcentral lists this ribosomal RNA (2105 nucleotides) under Triticum aestivum (bread wheat). RNAcentral describes it as "partial small subunit ribosomal RNA". The record is from RNAcentral. Lineage: Eukaryota; Viridiplantae; Streptophyta; Magnoliopsida; Poales; Poaceae.
GCGAGCGAGCGAGCCUGACAAAGAGAGAGGAAAAGCCGGGCGCUUUUGGUUUCUCUGCGUCGCGCGCGUGCGGCUGGCUUGCAGCCGGUCGGCUCGGCAGGGCAUGCAUACCUCAGGGCGUGGCGCUGCACGGCGCGGCCGGUUGGCACGGAGGGCUAAAAUUAAGCCGAGGUGGGGGCUGCCGGCCAGUCAGUUUGGGCGGGGGUGGGGUAGGUUGCCGCCGGCGGGCGAGGGGAGGGUAGGUGCACGGGUGGCGCAGGCGGAGGGAGUGCCAGUGCCGGGUGCCCGGCGGCGAGGGGUGGAGCGGCGGGCAGGCGAGGGGAGAAAAUAAGGGGAGGGGGGAGCAGCGGUCGGCGGGGGCUGAGCGUAGGUAGGUAGUAGAGGUCGGUGGCUCUCCCCUUUAAUCAGGUCUGAAAAUCCCAAAGGACUCUCUCUCUCUAGACCCUCCCCCUCGGUACCUGCCCUUCGACGGCGGCGGGUUGGGGUUGGAGGGCAUGGCCCUCCUGACGACCUCGCUCCCGCUCUGCCGGCGGGAGCAGCUGCGGACCCCCAGCGCUAUGUAGCUGGAGUUGGCGCCGUCGGAGGCGGUCGGCGUCACCGCGCUCCAGCGGCUGCGGCAGUUGUGGGCGGGCCCCCGGAGGCGCGCGGCGGCCGGGGGCGCGUGGCUGUAGGUCACGUUCUUGGCCCAGCUAUGGGAGUUCUUCUUCAUGUUCCGCCUCGCCCGCGCCCCGCCCGGGAGGGGGACCGGGAAGAUGGCGGUCGAGCUGCAGGAGCAGCCGGGCUGGGAGAGCCGGCGGCGGCGGCGGUUCUUCGGGAGGGGCGGGGCGCGCGAAGGGUACGACGCCUCCGCGUACAGCGGGAGAGCGAGGGGCAGCGGCGGGAGCGGCCGCGGCGGCUACCGCGAGGGGGACGGGUUGAUGGCGGCGCCCAGGUUGGAGGGCCGGCGACUGGAGAAGGUAUUCCGGCGACGUCGACGCCGGCGGCGCCUAAGGCUGAGCCUACUACCGAUGUUAUUGUUGUUGAUACUGCUGCUGCUCCCGAGCGUCGUUAGCCGGAGCGCGAGUCACAGCAGAGUGAGACCACCAUUGCCAGGACAAGAACCGCCACCACCCCCGCCGCCACCGCCGUUGUUUUCCUUCUCCCCGCCCUGGCCUCCAAAACCCCUCGAUCGCUACCGUUACCUCUGUAAGCGACUCUACAUACUCGCGUACCUCCGACGGUUCGUCUCCGUACGUCUCCUCUACCUCUUCGUCGCCUAGUUCAAGGAGUUCCUAGACCUCGAGUUCGCCUACGUCCGAAAGCACCUGUACGUCGAAGUUGAAAGCUCCCAUUUCGUUCGGUUUUUGCCAUGGAGUCUCUACGAGUACAGAGAACGACGUGACGGCAAGGAGUCGUUGGGACGAAUGGAGACUAUAUUCUCAAAUCUAAUGAACCUCAGUUCGUACCAUACCACGACGAGAAACUACUUCUAGUUAGAUCCAAGUAACCAUCAAACCACAUAUCCGAGACCUCAGGCCUACACAUUUUGUCUACGAAGACGAGGUCGGUUCUCGAAACCACAGCGGACGCAAAAGACCUGAUAUCGGCAACUGCAAAACAGAGAAAAGAAGGCGACCCUACAAUUGUCUGUUAAAGCAACAAAUCAAAAACAAAGUCAACUGUACUAAAUGUUCCAGACAUUGUCUUUUAUGACUUAUACUUAGUUGAGUUCGGUCGACGAAACUUUACAUGAGGGAGGCAAGGAUUUAUAUUCAGAAAGAUCACCAAGGUGAUCCACCUGAUGUAUGCCUUGUUUAACUUACUUAGAUGUGAAUUUUAUGUAGAUAUAUGUAGGCAUACACCAAGUAUCACCUUAGAAAUGUUUCUGAAUAUAAAUCCUACCUCCCUCAUGUAAGCUCGACCAACCGCGAAAGAGUCAAACGUUCCGCGACUGACCUUUUGCCUUGCCAGCCGAGAAAGAGAAGGAGCCGAUCGUAAGCAAGAAGUAGAACACGACCACCACAACGACGAAUGCGUGCGCCAACGACGAUAAAGCCCGCUACUACCAACCAAGAUCUCAAGCAAAGAGGGAAAGAGGGGAAAAAACCCGAACGGAUGAUUAAAAC